AUUGAACGCUGGCGGCAUGCCUUACACAUGCAAGUCGAACGGUAACAGGUCUUCGGAUGCUGACGAGUGGCGAACGGGUGAGUAAUGCAUCGGAACGUGCCCAGUAGUGGGGGAUAGCCCGGCGAAAGCCGGAUUAAUACCGCAUACGACCUGAGGGUGAAAGGGGGGGAUCGCAAGACCUCUCGCUAUUGGAGCGGCCGAUGUCAGGUUAGCUAGUUGGUGGGGUAAAGGCCUACCAAGGCAACGAUCUGUAGUUGGUCUGAGAGGACGACCAGCCACAGUGGGACUGAGACACGGCCCAGACUCCUACGGGAGGCAGCAGUGGGGAAUCUUGGACAAUGGGCGCAAGCCUGAUCCAGCAAUGCCGCGUGCAGGAAGAAGGCCUUCGGGUUGUAAACUGCUUUUGUCAGGGAAGAAAUCUUCUGGGUUAAUACCUCGGGAGGAUGACGGUACCUGAAGAAUAAGCACCGGCUAACUACGUGCCAGCCGCCGCCGUAA
This 498-nucleotide ribosomal RNA is filed under the name uncultured bacterium. RNAcentral describes it as "partial 16S ribosomal RNA". It matches the Rfam family "Bacterial small subunit ribosomal RNA", at positions 30 to 523 of the family's 1533-position model. The record is from RNAcentral.